RNAcentral lists this ribosomal RNA (301 nucleotides) under uncultured bacterium. RNAcentral's name for it is "partial 16S ribosomal RNA". It matches the Rfam family "Bacterial small subunit ribosomal RNA", at positions 509 to 807 of the family's 1533-position model. The record is from RNAcentral.
CAGCAGCCGCGGUAAUACGUAGGGUGCAAGCGUUAAUCGGAAUUACUGGGCGUAAAGCGUGCGCAGGCGGUUAUAUAAGUCAGAUGUGAAAUCCCCGGGCUCAACCUGGGAACUGCAUUUGAGACUGUAUGGCUAGAGUGUGUCAGAGGGGGGUAGAAUUCCACGUGUAGCAGUGAAAUGCGUAGAUAUGUGGAGGAAUACCGAUGGCGAAGGCAGCCCCCUGGGAUAACACUGACGCUCAUGCACGAAAGCGUGGGGAGCAAACAGGAUUAGAUACCCCGGUAGUCCCUGUCUCUUAUAC